UUUGGUCAAACCCUUAUGAGAAUAGGAGAAGGAGUCAAAGGGUACAAGAGAUUUUAGUCCUCAAACUUAUUGUAUUCAAACAUAUUAUAAUUCCAAAAAACAGUAGACAAGCCAUUUAAUGCUUGAAAGCAAUCGUUGUGGGUUCUUAGCCCAUUUUUGCCCAAAUUUCAGCAAGUCUUUCUACACUCUUCGAAACACUCUUCAUGCAUUUCUAGAACUUGUAAUCAAUCAAAUUUAAUGUAUUCUAACCUAUUCUAAUCCCAAACAACAUUAAAAAGUCCAUUUAGUGGUGCAACGCAAUGUUUUCGAGUUCUUAGCCCAUUUGGGACCAAAUUUCAACAUGUCUUUCUCCAAACUUCUAAACACUCUUCAUGAUGCUCUAGCAGUUGUAAUCAAUCAAACUUAUUGUAUUCUAACAUAUUUCAAUCACAAAAAACAUUAUUCAAGCCAUUUAAUACUUGAAAGCAAUGGUUGUGGGUUCUUAGCUCAUUUCAGCCCAAAUUUCAGCAUGUCUUUCUACACUCUUCUAAACACUCUUCAUGCAUCUCUAAAACUUGUAAUAAAUCAAAUUUAAUGUAUUCUAACCUAUUCUAACCUUAAACAACAUUAAAAAGGCCAUUUAGUGGUGCAACGCAAUGUUUUCGAGUUCUUAGCCCAUUUGGGACCAAAUUUCAACAAGUCUUUCUCCAAACUUCUAAACACUCUUCAUGAUGCUCUAGCAUUUGUAAUCAAUCAAACUUAUUGUAUUCUAACAUAUUAUAAUUCCAAAAACAGUAGACAAGCCAUUUAAUGCUUGAAAGCAAUCGUUGUGGGUUCUUAGCCCAUUUUUGCCCAAAUUUCAGCAAGUCUUUCUACACUCUUCGAAACACUCUUCAUGCAUUUCUAGAACUUGUAAUCAAUCAAAUUUAAUGUAUUCUAACCUAUUCUAAUCCCAAACAACAUUAAAAAGUCCAUUUAGUGGUGCAACGCAAUGUUUUCGAGUUCUUAGC
Molecule: long non-coding RNA, 989 nt
Filed under: Capsella rubella
Lineage: Eukaryota; Viridiplantae; Streptophyta; Magnoliopsida; Brassicales; Brassicaceae
Description: long non-coding RNA (CRUB_LNC000268)
Source: RNAcentral